GUAAUACUUUCGGUGCAAGYGUUAAUCGCAAUUCUGGGCGUGUAAGCGUGCUGCAKGYGGUUAUAUAACACAGAUGUGAAAUUCCCGGGCUCWACCUGGGAACUGCAUUUUGGGACUGUAUA
Molecule: ribosomal RNA, 122 nt
Filed under: uncultured bacterium
Lineage: Bacteria
Description: partial 16S ribosomal RNA
Source: RNAcentral